Amborella trichopoda is the source of this 471-nucleotide non-coding RNA. The record is from RefSeq and is a predicted model, not a curated record. Lineage: Eukaryota; Viridiplantae; Streptophyta; Magnoliopsida; Amborellales; Amborellaceae.
AUCUUUGGGGCCACAUUUUCUAAUUUGAUGCGUGGUUCAGGUGAAGUUAGAUGUAUCUCAACUCCAUGACAUAUCAGAUGAUGUUGAUUUCUGUAGUAAGUUGGCCAGGGAAGAAUCAGUAAUCUUGAUGCCAGGGAUUGCUCUUGCGAUGCCGGGAUGGCUACGGAUUGCUUUUGCUAUUUCCCCCCAUCUUUUGGAAGAUGGAAUCAAGAGGAUUCAGUCCUUUUGUCAAAGGCACUCAAAGCAUCAAUAAAAGCCCACUCCUAGUCAUCAUGUUGGUUGGUACAUGGCAAGGCAGAAAAGGCAACGCCCUGUUGCCUUAUCCAUCAUCUCCAUUUGUGGCAAUAAGAUAAUAGUGAAAUUAUUCAUGAAUCAUGUAUGUAUGGUUUGGAUUGUUAAGAAUUGUACUGCAAAUGUUAGUCAUAGACAAUAUGCUUGCCUGGAAUGAUUGAUUGUGAAUUAUUGAUGUUA